GUCUCCUUAGCUCAGCUGGUAGAGCAAUUCACUUUUAAUGAAUGGGCCUUAGGUUCGAAUCCUAAAGGGGACACCA
RNAcentral lists this transfer RNA (76 nucleotides) under Sulfurovum sp. AS07-7. Its description in RNAcentral is "tRNA-Lys". It matches the Rfam family "tRNA". From Rfam's summary of the family: Transfer RNA (tRNA) molecules are approximately 80 nucleotides in length. Lineage: Bacteria; Pseudomonadati; Campylobacterota; Epsilonproteobacteria; Campylobacterales; Sulfurovaceae. RNAcentral also lists the same sequence under 1 other name. The record is from RNAcentral.